Molecule: unclassified non-coding RNA, 1001 nt
Filed under: Sorbus commixta
Lineage: Eukaryota; Viridiplantae; Streptophyta; Magnoliopsida; Rosales; Rosaceae
Description: external transcribed spacer
Source: RNAcentral
CUUUGACAUGCCAAAGCUACGUGCGGCGUUGACGAAGCUUCUCGGUAGCCGUUGAACUAUUCGGUUGUCCCUCGUUUGACGGUCAAGAGGGGUUCGAAAACAAAGUUCGUGCUUGUUCUAGGCGUGCAUAGAUAAGGGGUUGGUGCUAUGUGUUAGGUCCUUCCCAACCCCCGUUGCAUGUCGAAAGCGAGUUCGUGCGGCGUCGACGAAACUUCUCGGUAGCCGUUGAACUAUUCGGUUGUCCCUCGUUUCACGGUCAAGAGGGGUUCGAAAACAAAGUUCGUGCUUGUUCUAGGCGUGCAUGGAUAAGGGGUUGGUGCUAUGUGUUAGGUCCUUCCCAACCCCCGUUGCAUGUCGAAAGCGAGUUCGUGCGGCGUCGACGAAGCUUCUCGGUAGCCGUUGAACUAUUCGGUUGUCCCUGUUGCCUUUCGAAUGUGUUUUCAUGCCUAGCGGUGCGGCUCGGCUCCUACCUGGCGUAUUUGCACUCAAGACGCACCCCUUUAUUGGGGCUAGUCGAGAUGUGUUUUUCGUUGGGCGGUGCUGGGUUUAGCUAUAACGUGACGGCGUAUGAGUGGUAAUUGGGUUGUAUUCGACGGCAGGCUCCGUGCUUCGGCAUCGAACUGUCGGCUCGUACCCCGCUUCAUUGAUGCAUCAAGAUUUGUCUUGUGCUCAAGAUGGGUUUCUGUUUUGGCUACCUAUUGCGAAGGAAUGUUGCCUCUCGUAGUCCCUUUCCUCCUCUUGCUGGCCUUGCCGGCGGGAGGACGACAUCGUAGCGGUACUCGUGUCCCGGACGAGCCACACUCGUUGUGAUGCAGUUUCGGUCCUCGAGUUUCCGCUCGACAUCUCGGAUGCGGAACACUAAAAGGGGCGGUGGGUCUUUACGGCCUCCGAUCGUCCACUCGAAGCCUUGUCGCUUGAUGCGUACGACUGUCGUGCCCGUUGCGAGAUGCCGACCGUCAAGGUCGUUCGUCUGGCGCGGCGCCGGCGUCGAAGAGGAAUGC